Macaca mulatta (Rhesus monkey) is the source of this 751-nucleotide non-coding RNA. The record is from RefSeq and is a predicted model, not a curated record. NCBI's taxonomy places the organism in Eukaryota, Metazoa, Chordata, Mammalia, Primates, Cercopithecidae.
GAACGGAGUCAAUUAUACUUCCACUCAUCUCCCAUGCAGACAAUUCAGAAUGAAUGAGAAGGACAUGCAAAUGAGAAAAAAAAAGAGAGACAUUAUCAAACACUGUGAAUAGGAAGACCAACAAAGAUCAUUUAGGAAGUGUAAAAAGCCCAAGACUGAAGCCAGGAAAAAUGAAUUCUGGUCCUGGUUCUGCUGCUAUGUGAUAUUGGACCAUCCGUUUUCUGAUGGAAACCUGGCUCAUUUGCUUUGGGGGUUGGUCCUCUGAUAUCCAAGCAGGGACUUUGAUUUUCUUGUGAGCACUCAGAGGCUGUCAGGCUCAGGGAAACCUACAUACGUGGUCCACACUGAAAUGAGGGUCUAAAGCCUUGAUGUAAGCACGAAAGCGCGCGGGCAGCAUGCAGCCCUACAAGCAGGCAUUGAUCCUCAAUGGGUCAAUGGGUUAAGGUUUAUCCAGCCCCAGGAGGGCCCAGGUCCCCGCUGGACCAGAGAAACCCCUUUAGGCUUGUGUAUUAGCCCUUUUUCACACUGCUGAUAAAAACACACCAGAGACUGGGCAAUUUACACGAGAAAGACAUUGAAUGGACUUACAGUUCAAUGUGGCUAGGGAGGCCUCACAAUCAUGGUGGAAGGCGAAAGGCACUUCUUACAUGGCGGCAGCGAGAGAGUAGAUGAGGAAGAAACGAAAGCGGAAACCCCUUAUAAAACCAUCAGAUCUCAUGAGACUUAUUCACCACUGUGAGAAUGGUAUGGG